Long non-coding RNA from Dermochelys coriacea (leatherback sea turtle), 2529 nucleotides. RefSeq lists it as uncharacterized. The transcript has 3 exons. Lineage: Eukaryota; Metazoa; Chordata; Testudines; Dermochelyidae. The record is from RefSeq and is a predicted model, not a curated record.
UAGUGGGUCCUUGGAGCUUCCCCACCUGCCCGAGACGCCUCUCCCGUCAGCUUCCAGCAGCUGAAACAGGGCAGAGGACGGACAGAAGAGCUUGCAAAAGGCUGCAGAUCUCCUAAGCAGGGCCCAGGGCAGUCUGCACUUCCUUUGCUGUGCAAACGGCAUACGUGGCGGCAGAAGAGGGCUGCGGGAUCCUGGCUUUCCUCUCAAGUGUUUACUUCUGGCGUGUUUCCAACACGAAUAAGUAGUUUGUUACCAAUGACAAUUUUUUACUGUUUUUCCUAGAACUGCAGCCUCUGGACUUCAUAAUCUGAGUAUUAAUUAAAAAGAAACAUUCUAGCCUUAAAAGGUUCCACAGAGUAAAGCCUGAAAAUUUGACCCAAGAAUAAACUAUGGGCUCAGAAAUGACAAGGAAAUAAAAAAACCAACCCAUUUUUCUCAUUAUUCAAAAUUCAUAAUUUUAAGCAAUUCUCAUAAUUGGGAUGGGGGCUCAGAAAAUGAUCUCUAAAUUACUUAGAAUGAAAAUACUUCUGUUUACACAAAAAACAUUUAACAUGAGAAAUACUCACAAAACAGUGUGCCACCAUGCUCACUCAACAGCAAAAUUUUAAAAAAUUGUUCUCAAGCAUAGAGGCCAAAAUGAAAAAAAUACGUAAAAUGAAGCGUUGACUCUGAAACAGAGUGAAGACCAUUAUGAGUUAGUAUGAACAUUUAUUUCUGUCAGAACAUGAUGCACUAUUUCACCGCCGGAAAGCAAGGGAGGCACAGGAACACAACGGACGUGCAUGAGGACUAGAGUGAACUCCUUCGCAUGAUUUCCACCCGCCUGGUGGGGCAGCACAAAAUGCCCCUCAGGGAUGAGAGGACUGAGGUCUUGGUAUGCAAAUGAGAGCAAGGCAUCUUGGAAGUCAGAGUCCUGAGAACUUUCCGGACUCCAGUCCUCUGCGCCUGACACAGGAGAAAAGCCAUCUCAUGGAUUACAUCCAUGCGUCCUUCAUCCUCAAACUGGGUAUGGUUUCCCCAGCCUGCACAGCGCAAGCCACAGGAGACGCUGCUCUGCCAAAACAGGCUCCUCAGGUCCAUCCCAGGAAAAGUGUCCCCCAUUGCUGAGGGCCCUACGAGCAGCACCAGCGAGGGGCUGAUCCUGCAAGAGGCUGAAGUUAAUGCGAAUACAGGGCAGCUGUGAGGAUUGGCUCUGGUCAGCUCUGAACUUGCUAUUGGAUCUGCUCUGAAAUAUGGAUCCCAAAGCGCCGCAUCUUGCAGGAUUCCAUCCCCCCCCCGCCCCCACAUCUGGCUGAAGAUUGGGUCUUAAUUAGGAAUAAUUCAGAAUCGAUUGUGGGGCAGUUUAAUGACUGUGCAGUAAGCUUAAAGAAAAGUGGUGCUGGUAUCUCAUUCGCCAGACUGACGGGGACCAACAACCUUGGACAAUCAGCACACUCAGCCCUAGGGUGGAGCUGGCAGGAUGGUGAAAUAUGGGCUCACUCAGACUUUGGUCUCUGAAAGGGACAUGGAAGGACAAUCUCCUCCCCUCACAUUAGGUAAAUAACCAUCUCAAAACAUAUUUUAAAACAAACAUUUGUAUGAAGUACAUUGUGUGGGUCUGCUAAGCUUUCAGAGAGAGAUGUGUGUCUGUGUCGAGGCAAUACGGACCUUGGAAUAAGAUGAGGCCCAUGUAUGUAACUAAACAAAACCACCACAAAAUUAGAUUCAAAGAUAUUUAUUAGGGCAAUUCAAGUUCAUGCUCCAUUUGAAAUACAAAGCACCAGAGUUUAGAUAACUGAUUAUCCAAGUAUCAUCCAGCUGAAGCUGCUGAGCUGUGUACAGACAUGUAUUUAUUAGAUAUCACAGUCCCAGAUCAUAUUCACUUGAAGAAUGGUGAACAAACAAAAAUACAUUGGAGCAGUGGCUGCUAUGAGGCAAACUCUCCUAUUUCUGAGGUCUUGGCAAGAUGUUUUUACAACACUUACCCUUCUCACUAGAGACCUCAGAAGAAUAAUAUAAUACAACUCCCCUCACUACCAGUAGAUUACACAUCUAGGAUAUUUUAUGGCAUUAAACACAACCUCCAAAUACAGUUUAGCAUUUUUGUUUUGCCAAAGAUUUUUAAACACAGAUUUAAUUUUUCUUAAAAAACAAAACAAAACACAAGUCCAUGGCAAACCCCACAUUCUUUUGUACUCAGCGAUGAAUUAUCCCAGCACAACAUUCAACUGAGAAGUAAAGCACUAUGGCUGUGAUUACAUUAGGAACUUUACACAAUGGCAAUUCAGGGUGCUGUCAACAAAUGUAAAUAAACUGCUGCUGCAAAACAGUUUAAUUGCAAGUGCACACAGGACUACAUUAUGUUCAGCAGUUUCAGAAACUAGCUAGCUGCACCCAUUGUCAACAUGGCGUAACUUUCCUAAUGUAGACUUAAAGGCUAGAAUCUGAUCUUAGAUACCUGAUGGGCAUUCCCAGGGUACCUAAAAUCAUAAUAUGGGUUUCUAGUUUUAGGCUGAAACCUCAAUGACGCAAAAAAUUUAGAGAUUUGUU